This 512-nucleotide ribosomal RNA is filed under the name uncultured bacterium. Its description in RNAcentral is "bacterial SSU rRNA". It matches the Rfam family "Bacterial small subunit ribosomal RNA", at positions 15 to 518 of the family's 1533-position model. The record is from RNAcentral.
GAUCAUGGCUCAGGAUGAACGCUAGCGACAGGCUUAACACAUGCAAGUCGAGGGGCAGCACGGGAGUAGCAAUACAACUGGUGGCGACCGGCGCACGGGUGAGUAACGCGUAUGCAACCUACCUAUCAGAGGGGAAUAACCCGGCGAAAGUCGGACUAAUACCGCAUAAAACAGGGGCACCGCAUGGUGAUAUUUGUUAAAGAAAUUCGCUGAUAGGUGGGCAUGCGUUCCAUUAGGUAGUUGGUGAGGUAACGGCUCACCAAGCCGACGAUGGAUAGGGGAACUGAGAGGUUGGUCCCCCACACUGGUACUGAGACACGGACCAGACUCCUACGGGAGGCAGCAGUGAGGAAUAUUGGUCAAUGGGCGAGAGCCUGAGCCAGCCAAGUCGCGUGAAGGAAGAAGGAUCUAUGGUUCGUAAACUUCUUUUGCAGGGGAAUAAAGUGCAGGACGUGUCCUGUUUUGUAUGUACCCUGAGAAUAAGGAUCGGCUAACUCCGUGCCAGCCGCGGC